UUCGUUUUCUUUUCCCUCCAGUAGUUUGUCUCUCUCUUCCAGUCGUCUGUCUCUCUCUUCCAGUAGUCUGUCUCUCUCUUCCAGUAGUCUGUCCUUCUCUCCCAGUCUGUGGUUCCUGACCUCUAGGUGAAGGUCUCGAUCCUUUAGUUGUUUGUCUCUCUCUUCCAGUAGUUUGUCUUUCUCUUCCAGUAGUCUGUCCUUCUCUCCCAGUCUGUGGUUGCUGUCCUCUAGUUGAAGGUAUUUUUCCUUUAGUAGUUUGUCUUUCUCUUCCAGUAGUCUGUCCUUCUCUCCCAGUCUGUGGUUCCUGUCCUCUAGUUGAAGGUAUUUUUCCUUUAGUAGUUUGUCUUUCUCUUCCAGUAGUCUGUCCUUCUCUCCCAGUCUGUGGUUGCUGUCCUCUAGUUGAAGGUCUUUUUCCUUUAGUAGUUUGUCUUUCUCUUCCAGUAGUCUGUCCUUCUCUCCCAGUCUGUGGUUCCUGUCCUCUAGUUGAAGGUCUUUUUCCUUUAGUAGUUUGUCUUUCUCUUCCAGUAGUCUGUCCUUCUCUCCCAGUCUGUGGUUCCUGUCCUCUAGUUGAAGGUCUUUUUCCUUUAGUAGUUUGUCUUUCUCUUCUAAUAGUCUGUCCCUCUGUUCCAUUAUCUGGUUCUUCUCCUCCAGGAGUCUCUCUUUCUCUCUCACUUCUUGGGUCAUAUCGCCCAGUUGUGUGUCUUUCUCUCUCACUUCCUGGGUCAUAUCAUCCAGUUGUGUGUCUUUCU
Molecule: long non-coding RNA, 749 nt
Organism: Oncorhynchus keta (chum salmon)
Lineage: Eukaryota; Metazoa; Chordata; Actinopteri; Salmoniformes; Salmonidae
Exons: 4
Source: RefSeq, a predicted model, not a curated record